RNAcentral lists this long non-coding RNA (5844 nucleotides) under Gallus gallus (chicken). RNAcentral's name for it is "lncRNA (ENSGALG00010025950.1)". The record is from RNAcentral. Lineage: Eukaryota; Metazoa; Chordata; Aves; Galliformes; Phasianidae.
GGCUAAUUUUCAGUUGGAGCAAAGAUAUAAACUAAGUAAAUAAAUAAAAGCCUUAGCAAAAUUUUGUUCUUUACAUCUAGAAGGUGCUUGGGGAAAAAAAAAAAAAAAAAAGUGAUCCACAGGAAAGAAGAAGGCUCAAGGAACAAGAGCAAGAACACCUAAGUUUAACACGAUGAAAUAAAACAAGGCUCAGGGAAGAAGCUAUAACCAGCAAAACUCUCAGAGGAGUUCCUCAGAGGAGGUACCCAGGUCUCACUGUUUCAGACAGUAAGAUGACAGGGCGUCAGCAGGAGCACCAGUCUUAGUUCUAGUUCCAUGCUGUCAGCAGUGAUUAAAGCAUAUGAUCCCCCUUCCCACACGGAUUUAUCAAGACCACCAAGCUACUGCAUGGAUAGCACUACAAAUACUUCAUCAGCCAUGAGCCGGCAAAAUGAGAUUCUGCAUUGAAGCCAAACCUUAACAACUGAGACUUAAGAAUAAUUCAAAUUUAGAACAACUUCAAAUCAUAUUUUCAGUGCCUUCUCCUCACCCAGUUCAGUUGCAUUUCUGAAACCCAGGUCACUCAUACAUUAUCACUCCAAAACAAGCCACCUCCCACCCAUGCAACCUUUUAAGAAGACUUUGCCCUUAUACAAGCUACCUCCAAUAAGCCUUUUAGAUUCCAAGAAAUUCUAAAACAUCAGUGAAUGCUGUCCCAAAACUUCAGUAGCAUGUUACGGAUGUGGUUUGGUCAGCAAGUGAGGGGCAAGGACAAGGCAACAGCAUCCAUAUCCAGUAAUCCCUUGGCAAAGGUGCUCCCCUGCCCCUGCAUUGUCUGCCAGAUUUGAUCCAUCCAACUUCUGAAAAUAAGUUAAAGCACAAAGCAUAAGGAUAACAAGGGUGCUGUGCAGACCAGGCAAGAACUGCAGGAGCUUGAAAGGUCAGGCAACUUUCUUGGAGCACCAAGGGUGCAACCACGGCUCUGAGGUAAGCUCCAGGUGGUGGGAAGGGAAAUGUGCAGCAAGCGUGUCUCACCUUCCGUUCCUCCAUGACAGGCCAUAAAAGUCACAAGACACCAAUGAGCAAAGCAGAGAGAAAAACAAGGUGUCCAGAGUUCAAAUGCAGCCCUGAGACACUAGGGCCUCUGAAGUCCACAGUCCAGUGACCAGCGCAAGACCUGACUCCCAUGAGGGAGGCACAGCAGCGAUGUAGAAAAGUGCUACGGCUGCCGGGGCCGGGCCCACAUUUCUAUCUCUACCUGUGAAGGACAGGAACAUCAAGAAAAGGCUGCUAGGGGCCUCCCAAGGAUACAAGCUCCUUUCUCCUCCUCCCUGUGGACACCGGAGCGGAUGUCCCCGCACCUGGCUCCGCGGGGCUUCCCCGAACAGCAAUUCCCCACACGCUCACCCACACCUACGCGCAUCGGGCCGAGCCCCGCGUCCCAGUCGAGCGCAGCAGGCCCGUCGUCCCACCGCAGGAUAAGGGCAACAGCAGAGCCAGCGUACUUGCCCCCUGUCGUCUCUGGUUCCAGAAAGACAAGCUGUGGCACUUCCUUUUUUCACAACCUUCUUCAUUACCCGAGUCUCUCUUCCUGCUGCUUAAGGGCUCUUCAAGUUUAAGAAGAAAGUUCUUCCUGCAGACCAGCUGGAUGAGGGACCUCCAAACUUGGCCUCCUGGGAUGGAGAGGGACAUUUUUGCUAGCAGGCCUAUUGGUAGGCCAGAUAUCCUGAGGUUCAUUGCGAGCCCUAGAAAUAAAUGACUGCAAGUGAAAGAUGCAGAUCUUCGUGAGGUGGCCAAGUUUAUUCGUUACUGCAUUAGCGGGCGCACGCCACCUUGUGGUACCUGUCUGGAAGAGAAGAACUACAUUCCCCAGGGGGCUUUGCAGUCAGAGAGGAGAUAUAACCUCUGGCAAAGUCACCUGAUGUCUCUUCUUCCUUCGGCUCUCCUCACUGUUGCUCGUCCUGACCUCACACAUUGCCUCAGCACUACUGUAAGGCCUAUAGCUUUCAGAAUCUCUCUCAUUACAUUUGAUCUAUUAGCUUCAAUUCUAAAUAUAUUGUAUAAUAGUGUGUUAUCUUGCAUUCUGAUACCAUAUUUAGUAAAUUAGUUUGUUUCUCCUCAGAUCGUUGCCGCUGUUUUAAUUAUUAAUAUAUAUUAAUAUAUAUUAAUUAUUAAUAUAUAUUAAUUUAAUAUAAUUAAUUUUAAUUAUUAAUUAUAUACGAGGGAGUUUGGGCUGCUUCCAAAGUCAUUGGCACUGAAAUGCAGAUCCUUCCGGCACCUCGACUGCCAGUGCUGAACUGGAUGUUUAAAGGAAAGGUUCCCUCCACCCAUCAUGCUACUGAUGCUACCUGGGGCAAGUGGAUUGUGUUGAUUAUGCAAGGAGCUCGGAUGGGGAACCUCAUCCAUCCAGGAAUCCUAGAGGUGAUCAUGGACUGGCCUGAAGGUAAAAAGUUUGGAGUGUCACCAGCAGAAGAGGUAUCACAAGCUAAAGAGGCCCCACUGUACAAUGAACUACCAGAAAAUGAAAAGAAAUAUGCCCUGCUCACAGACGGAUCGUGUCGUACUGCGGGGAAGCAUCGCAAAUGGAAAGCUGAUGUGUGGAGCCCCACAUGACAAGUUGAAGAGGCCACUGAAGGAAAAGGAGAAUCAAGCCAAUUUGCGGAGGUAAAAGCUGUCCAGCUGGCCUUAGAUGUUGCUAAAUGGGAGAGGUGGCCAAUGCUUUGUCUUUAUACUGACUCAUGGAUGGUGGCAAAUGCCUUAUGGGGGUGGUUACAGCAGUAGGAACAAAACAACUGACUAAGAAGGGGUAAACCUAUUUGGGCUCCUGAGCUGUUGGAAAGAAAUUGCUGCCCAAAUAAAAAAUAUGGUUGUAAAAGUGUGUCACGUAGAUGCUCAUGUACCCAAGAGGCGGGCUAUUGAAGAGCAACAGAACAACCAUCAGGUAGAUCGAGCUGCCAAAAUUAAGGUGGCUCAGACAGACUUGGACUGGCAACAAAAGGGUGAAUUAUUUCUAGCUCAGUGGGCCCAUGAGACCUCGGGCCAUCAAGGAAGAGAUGCAACAUAUAAGUGGGCUAGAGACUGAGGGGUGGACUUAACUAUGUACGCUAUAGCACAAGUUAUUCAUGACUGUGAAAUGUGCCAUUAUUAAACAAGGCGAGAGGACGAAAACUCUCUGGGAGGAACAGCAAUGGCCUACUGCCCCUCUGUCACGGGCAUAGAUUUAUCUACAUUGAUCUAGAUAACUCCGUGACAGGGGUGUGAGGCAUUAAGAAUCCCCUGCUGAUAUACAGUGUUGGACUACAGAAAGACAAAAGAAUACAGUGGAGUUAGUAUACUGUUUCUGUAUCACAGCAUCACCUUUGGUAGUUCUAUUGCUGGAACUGUGAUGGCCUAGAACAAUAUAUUUACCUAGUGGGACUGAAGGACUUCUCCCCCACCCUUCCAUUGAGACUGUCAAAACACUGGUCCUUGGGAGAUUUGGUAAUACUAUGGAGCUGCACAUCUUACUCCCUGCAAGGGACUGACUGCCAGGCGGAGUUUGAGGCGGAUAUCUGUGGCCUGGGCCAGGAAUAGAUCCUACAGGAGAUGAUGUGUGCCUGAGCUUGCUUCUACCCGUUGUUCAUGGCAAUUUUGAGGACAGUAGGCCACUCCUGUGAAGGUGAUUUCAGAAACACGUGCUCACUUUUCUACUACUAAAUGUGGGGGCUAUUAAAAGAUUAUUAUUAUUAUUAUUUUAAUUAGGGCCUUUCAGAGAGGUAUCAUGGACAGCCUAGAUGCAUUUUGGUCUUGUGCCACCAUGGGUCAGAAAAGAAUCUGUAUUUUCAAGGACUAAAAAAGGCCACUGAUAUUAAGGAUCAAAACUGCCUAAGAGUCGGGUUAGAGCAACUCCUGUGGAAGUCUGCAAUCAGCACUGUGCUCUCAAGGUAGGUCCUAUCAAGCUGUGUUAUGCUGGCCAGUACUGCGCAGAUUCUUAGGAUAAGAAUAACAUAUACUUUGGCCUGAUUUGCUAGGUGAGUGGUGGAAGAGGCAAAGCCCAAGGGAGAAUGGUUUCUCUUCUUGUUGUCAAAAAUUUGCUUAUAGGAUUUGCUUCCUGUCCCCAACAAUCCCUCUUAAGGACAGCUUCCUUAGACUAGGGCUGAUUCCCUGUCCACAGACAGAGCAAGCAUCUAGUUGCAGCCCCACACACCUCGUUGAUUGUGAGAGGUAGAUUGAGGUUUUGCAGUAGAAAAAACUUCUAGCACUAAGGUAUAGGCCUUUACUAAACUUUCUUACAAAAUGGAUGCACGGGUUGUUGUUCACAAUGAGAUGUUGAGGCAGAGCUUAAUAUAAGCUAGAAUGAGUCUGCCAGUUAUUCUGUUUUUCAGAACAUUCUGACCAGGUGGGUAAACACUGAUACUACCUAUGGAGGAUAGGCAGGAUAGCAAGAGCCUAGUAUACACUGUGAAACUUGUGAUGCAAUUAAACAAGCCAAGAGGACGAAACCUCUCUGGGGGGAAGGGCAAUGGCAAAAGCGUAAAUAUGGAGAGGUGUGGCAGGUUGAUUAUAUCAUCUUGGCACAAUCUCGCAAUGGUAAGCUUUAUGUGCUUACCAUGGUGGAAGCAACCACUGGGUGUCUUGAAACAUAUGCAGUACCCGAUGCUUUGAAAAAUGAAAAACGACAGGUGAGUGAUAAACCUUAUAUGGAAACAUACCUUAGCAACUGUGUCUAGUAGGUUGUGCGUCUGAGAUGCUUAGCCAAUGAGCAACAGGAGAGAUGUCACAUACUUAGUAGAAAGGGUAUAAAAUAGUGUAAUUUCACUGAUUAAGCUCACAAUUUCUUCCUUACCACAAGGUGGCGUGCGCCCGCUAAUGCAGUAACGAAUAAACUUGGCCACCUCACGAAGAUCUGCAUCUGAUCAGAAAUAAUUGAUUUUGAGUGUUUCUCACACUGCUGGCAUGAGGCAAUAUGACUCUUGUGCACCAAAAUGAACAAGCAGCUCUUGCCCUCUUCUGGGGCUAGAAUCUCAGAGGUUUUGUUUUUAAAAAGUUGAAACUAUAAGAAAAUGGUAGGUGUUGGCACUCUCACAGAAAGCCUUAAUAGUAACCCAGUGUAUCUGCAGGGCUCAUGAAGGACAAAUUUCCAAAGCCACUUCACCAACAUACAGGAACACGUGUAAAAGUAUAUUUGUGUUAACAUUACCUCUCCUGGCUGCAGGGAGGAGGCAACACCUUCCCAAUACAGGGCAGCGUGUUAUUAUAUACAGAAGCUGAGGGAGCACCUCAAGGAUACCUCUCAUGCAAGGACACUGGGGAGGAACAUUUUUCAGCUUUGUCCACCUCUGCAAAAGCCGAACUUAUGAAAAUGUAUGUGCUUAUGUCAUAAAUAACUGCCUUGUUAUGCAUAAUGAUAUGCACAACAAAACAGAACAAAACAAAAAAAAGCCAGGUGGCAGGGAGAAUUUCUGUAGCUUUAAGUACCUGAUACUACAGCCAUUCAAGAUUCUCUUAAUUUAGGACAAGGAUGCUAGUGUGCAGUUUUCUAAUUAACUGGGAAUCAUCUAUAUACGUGCAUGAGACAGAUUAAUUUGUUUGUGGGAUGCAUUUUGUGUCUAUCCAACAGAGGCAAAGAAACUGAAGGGCUGGUCUGAGUCAUAAGCAGCACUGACCUAUACCACAGGAAACAAUACUUAGAUGGACAACAUCACAAGUGGAUCUUAGGUAGGAAGCAGCACUGCUGGGAGUAGCAGGAAUAUGCAGGAUGGGACUAAGGCAGCACAGGGGAAGGAGUCUGGAUGUCAUCCUCCUCCCCUGGCUGCACAUGCUAAGGUGCUGCAGCUGCCUGCCUGGGUGUAUGUGCAAUUCUUUCUGCACCCAGCUGCUACACAG